CCUACGGGGGGCAGCAGUGGGGAAUAUUGCACAAUGGGGGGAACCCUGAUGCAGCGACGCCGCGUGAGUGAAGAAGUAUUUCGGUAUGUAAAGCUCUAUCAGCAGGGAAGAAAAUGACGGUACCUGACUAAGAAGCCCCGGCUAACUACGUGCCAGCAGCCGCGGUAAUACGUAGGGGGCAAGCGUUAUCCGGAUUUACUGGGUGUAAAGGGAGCGCAGACGGCUGUGCAAGUCUGGAGUGAAAGGCGGGGGCCCAACCCCCGGACUGCUCUGGAAACUGUAAAGCUGGAGUGCAGGAGAGGUAAGCGGAAUUCCUAGUGUAGCGGUGAAAUGCGGAGAUAUUAGGAGGAACACCAGUGGCGAAGGCGGCUUACUGGACUGCAACUGACGUUGAGGCUCGAAAGCGUGGGGAGCAAACAGGAUUAGAUACCCCUGUAGUC
Molecule: ribosomal RNA, 440 nt
Filed under: uncultured bacterium
Lineage: Bacteria
Description: partial 16S ribosomal RNA
Rfam family: Bacterial small subunit ribosomal RNA
Source: RNAcentral